RNAcentral lists this ribosomal RNA (253 nucleotides) under uncultured bacterium. Its description in RNAcentral is "partial 16S ribosomal RNA". It matches the Rfam family "Bacterial small subunit ribosomal RNA", at positions 524 to 776 of the family's 1533-position model. The record is from RNAcentral.
UACGUAGGGUGCGAGCGUUGCCCGGAUUUAUUGGGCGUAAAGGGCGCGUAGGCGGUUUGCCAAGUCAGGGGUGAAAUCCUGCAGCUCAACUGUAGAAGUGCCUUUGAUACUGGCGAACUCGAGGGAGGUAGGGGUGCGUGGAACUUCUGGUGGAGCGGUGAAAUGCGUUGAUAUCAGAAGGAACGCCGGUGGCGAAAGCGACGCACUGGACCUUUUCUAACGCUGAGGCGCGAAAGCUAGGGGAGCAAACGGG